This 773-nucleotide ribosomal RNA is filed under the name uncultured Neocallimastigales. RNAcentral's name for it is "partial large subunit ribosomal RNA". It matches the Rfam family "Eukaryotic large subunit ribosomal RNA", at positions 24 to 629 of the family's 3401-position model. The record is from RNAcentral. Lineage: Eukaryota; Fungi; Neocallimastigomycota; Neocallimastigomycetes; Neocallimastigales.
GUAGUCUCGCACAGAUGCAUAUCAAUAAGCGGAGGAAAAGAAACUAACAAGGAUUCCCCUAGUAACGGCGAGUGAAGCGGGAAGAGCUCAAAUUUGAAAUCUUAAAGGGUUUCCCUUUACGAAUUGUAGUUUAAAGAAGUGUUUUCUGUUGAGGUUUUGGUAAAAGUUCUUUGGAUAGGACAUCAUAGAGGGUGAGAAUCCCGUAUUUGACCUUUACUUUCAACCUUGUGAUACACUUUCAAAGAGUCGGAUUGUUUGGGAAUGCAGUCCAAAAUGGGUGGUAAAUUUCAUCUAAAGCUAAAUAUUGGCGAGAGACCGAUAGCGAACAAGUACCGUGAGGGAAAGAUGAAAAGGACUUUGAAAAGAGAGUUAAACAGUACGUGAAAUUGUCAAAAGGGAAGCGUUUGACACCAGUGUUGUUUUUCUGAAAAUCAAUUAAAGAACUGUUUAUGCUAAGUUGUUUAGACUUUAUCAGCUAUCUGUUUAGUUUUGAGCUUUUCUUUAAUGCACUUUUCAGUUAACAAGUCAACAUCAAUUUCUUUUGCUGUAAAAAAGCUUGAGGAAGGUGGCUUGAGAUUCGUCUUAAGUGUUUAUAGCCUCUUGCCUAUGCAGUCGGAGAGAUUGAGGUCUGCAGCGUAGAUCCUUCGGGGCUAAAUGCAUUUGUGCUAAGUUAUAGCAUUUUAUAGACAACUUGUUGACUAUGAUUUGUCUUGUAGCUUACUCGCUUAUGUUAUUUUACCUACGCUUAGGAUGUUGACAGCAGUAUAGACUGU